GCAGUCGAGCGGUAGCACAGAGAGCUUGCUCUCGGGUGACGAGCGGCGGACGGGUGAGUAAUGUCUGGGAAACUGCCUGAUGGAGGGGGAUAACUACUGGAAACGGUAGCUAAUACCGCAUAACGUCGCAAGACCAAAGUGGGGGACCUUCGGGCCUCAUGCCAUCAGAUGUGCCCAGAUGGGAUUAGCUAGUAGGUGGGGUAACGGCUCACCUAGGCGACGAUCCCUAGCUGGUCUGAGAGGAUGACCAGCCACACUGGAACUGAGACACGGUCCAGACUCCUACGGGAGGCAGCAGUGGGGAAUAUUGCACAAUGGGCGCAAGCCUGAUGCAGCCAUGCCGCGUGUGUGAAGAAGGCCUUCGGGUUGUAAAGCACUUUCAGCGGGGAGGAAGGCGGUGAGGUUAAUAACCUCAUCGAUUGACGUUACCCGCAGAAGAAGCACCGGCUAACUCCGUGCCAGCAGCCGCGGUAAUACGGAGGGUGCAAGCGUUAAUCGGAAUUACUGGGCGUAAAGCGCACGCAGGCGGUCUGUCAAGUCGGAUGUGAAAUCCCCGGGCUCAACCUGGGAACUGCAUUCGAAACUGGCAGGCUAGAGUCUUGUAGAGGGGGGUAGAAUUCCAGGUGUAGCGGUGAAAUGCGUAGAGAUCUGGAGGAAUACCGGUGGCGAAGGCGGCCCCCUGGACAAAGACUGACGCUCAGGUGCGAAAGCGUGGGGAGCAAACAGGAUUAGAUACCCUGGUAGUCCACGCCGUAAACGAUGUCGAUUUGGAGGUUGUGCCCUUGAGGCGUGGCUUCCGGAGCUAACGCGUUAAAUCGACCGCCUGGGGAGUACGGCCGCAAGGUUAAAACUCAAAUGAAUUGACGGGGGCCCGCACAAGCGGUGGAGCAUGUGGUUUAAUUCGAUGCAACGCGAAGAACCUUACCUGGUCUUGACAUCCACAGAACUUUCCAGAGAUGGAUUGGUGCCUUCGGGAACUGUGAGACAGGUGCUGCAUGGCUGUCGUCAGCUCGUGUUGUGAAAUGUUGGGUUAAGUCCCGCAACGAGCGCAACCCUUAUCCUUUGUUGCCAGCGGUUAGGCCGGGAACUCAAAGGAGACUGCCAGUGAUAAACUGGAGGAAGGUGGGGAUGACGUCAAGUCAUCAUGGCCCUUACGACCAGGGCUACACACGUGCUACAAUGGCAUAUACAAAGAGAAGCGACCUCGCGAGAGCAAGCGGACCUCAUAAAGUAUGUCGUAGUCCGGAUUGGAGUCUGCAACUCGACUCCAUGAAGUCGGAAUCGCUAGUAAUCGUAGAUCAGAAUGCUACGGUGAAUACGUUCCCGGGCCUUGUACACACCGCCCGUCACACCAUGGGAGUGGGUUGCAAAAGAAGUAGGUAGC
RNAcentral lists this ribosomal RNA (1384 nucleotides) under Klebsiella sp. RNAcentral describes it as "bacterial SSU rRNA". It matches the Rfam family "Bacterial small subunit ribosomal RNA", at positions 57 to 1434 of the family's 1533-position model. The record is from RNAcentral. Lineage: Bacteria; Pseudomonadati; Pseudomonadota; Gammaproteobacteria; Enterobacterales; Enterobacteriaceae.